UGGGGAAUCUUGCACAAUGGGCGAAAGCCUGAUGCAGCGACGCCGCGUGCGGGAUGAAGGCCUUCGGGUUGUAAACCGCUUUCAGCAGGGACGAGGCCGCAAGGUGACGGUACCUGCAGAAGAAGCCCCGGCUAACUACGUGCCAGCAGCCGCGGUAAUACGUAGGGGGCAAGCGUUAUCCGGAGUCAUUGGGCGUAAAGCGCGCGUAGGCGGUUUGUUAGGUCAGGAGUUAAAUCUGGGGGCUCAACCCCUAUCCGCUCCUGAUACCGGCAGGCUUGAGUCUGGUAGGGGAAGGCGGAAUUCCAGGUGUAGCGGUGAAAUGCGCAGAUAUUUGGAAGAACACCGGUGGCGAAGGCGGCCUUCUGGGCCACGACUAACGCUGAGGCGCGAAAGCUAGGGGAGCGAACAG
This 409-nucleotide ribosomal RNA is filed under the name Verrucomicrobiota bacterium. RNAcentral describes it as "Verrucomicrobia bacterium partial 16S ribosomal RNA". It matches the Rfam family "Bacterial small subunit ribosomal RNA", at positions 355 to 775 of the family's 1533-position model. Lineage: Bacteria; Pseudomonadati; Verrucomicrobiota. The record is from RNAcentral.